UACGUAGGGGGCUAGCGUUGUCCGGAUUUAUUGGGCGUAAAGAGCGUGUAGGCGGCCAGGUAGGUCUGGUGUGAAAACUCGAGGCUUAACCUCGAGAUGUCAUCGGAAACCAUCUGGCUAGAGUCCGGAAGAGGAAAGUGGAAUUCCUGGUGUAGCGGUGAAAUGCGCAGAUAUCAGGAAGAACACCAAUGGCGAAAGCAGCUUUCUGGGACGGUACUGACGCUGAGACGCGAAAGCGUGGGGAGCGAGCAGG
Molecule: ribosomal RNA, 253 nt
Filed under: uncultured bacterium
Lineage: Bacteria
Description: partial 16S ribosomal RNA
Rfam family: Bacterial small subunit ribosomal RNA
Source: RNAcentral